UACGUAGGAUGCGAGCGUUGUUCGGAUUUAUUGGGCGUAAAGCGUGCGUAGGCGGUUACCAAAGUCUGGUGUUAAAGCUAGGGGCUCAACCCCUGUGAUGCACUGGAAACUAUGUGACUUGAGUGCGGUAGGGGAAGGUGGAAUUCCGAGUGUAGCGGUGAAAUGCGUAGAUAUUCGGAAGAACACCGGUGGCGAAGGCGACCUUCUGGGCCGCAACUGACGCUGAGGCACGAAAGCCUGGGGAGCGAACGGG
RNAcentral lists this ribosomal RNA (253 nucleotides) under uncultured bacterium. RNAcentral's name for it is "partial 16S ribosomal RNA". It matches the Rfam family "Bacterial small subunit ribosomal RNA", at positions 524 to 776 of the family's 1533-position model. The record is from RNAcentral.